CUUUAAAAAUAGAUCAGUGUAUUUGGUAUUUCAAGUAGAUUUAUGACAUCAGGCUCAUUUAUAAAUUUAUAUAAAAUCACAAUACUUAAUCCAUGCAUACACAGUGACAGAUAAUGGGAGUUAUGUUUUUAAGGAGUCUUGAAAAGGCCUCUAAUAUGAUGAGUUUAAAAAGUAAUUCUCCUACACACCUAUCUCAAACUUUGCUAUAGUGCGGUCAGUGGUGGUCAGCAGACCACUGGUCUGGGGGUGUUGAAGUUAGGCCUUCUUAUACUUGCUCUUAUGCAGAGUUCAUGUAUUUGGCAGACCUUCAGUGGUGGACAUCUCUACCCUCAAUACAAUUUCUGGUGACUAAGGAGGGGAAGUUGUUUGAGCUGACUGAUGUUUUGGGGUCUAAAAUUACAUAGGGCUAAAGGAAUAACGUUUCUUACGUGGUUUUUAAAAUAAUAGUGCUUCUGGAAGUGGAAUUUCAAAAUUAUUUUAAGCAAUGGAAAUAAGGGAGCAUGCAUCACUUAGCUAAGUUGAUUACUUUAAUAAACAAUACUCAUUUGAGUGUACAUAUGACUUACUGUCAUACCUUAUUUAUAUCUGUUUGUUGUAACAUUUAUUCACAUAGUAUUCAUUCAUAUUACUGAGUGCCUACCUUGUGCCAGGCACUGCUCUAGGUGCCGAGAUAGAGCUGUGAACAAAACAGACAAAAUAGACAAAAUCUUUCCUCAUAAAUUUUACAUUCUAAUGUGAGAGAAGCAGUCUGACAAUUCUAAGUACCUAACUUAUAAAAAUAAAUGGCGAUUCAUUUCUUGGCUGCUCAAAAUUGAACAUUAUCUUGUCUAUUACAAAAUAUAUAGGUUCAUUGAUGUUCAAUUCUUUAGACUGUAGAUAGCUUGUGACAAAAAAAUUCUAUGAUAAAAUAUAUGGCAUAACUAUAUUAUUCUAUUUUCUAAUUUUAUCUAUGAUUAUAGAUAAGUAAAAGAAGAAAUCUUAAAUUUCUCGAAUAUCCAGACAGACAUAUACCAUGCAGUCGAAGUAGUUGAUUGCCCUUAGUUUGUCUUAACAAUUUAAUAUUUAGAAUGCCUGGUAGGUCUAUUAAUCAUUUUUAGAAAGUCAUCUUGGUUGAAGUUUUUCUGUACUAUUUUUGAUAAGGUUCUUGCAUAAUCCAAUCACAUGCUUCUUAACGCAUAAUAUUCAUUAGCUGCUUUAACUUGCAUUAUGAUUAUCCAGUUAGAAUCUUGUGCAUUGAUAAUCUUUUUAAUGAAAAGAAUAGUUCUGAACUGUAAAAAAUAUUCUUAGUUACACCCAAAAUAAUUGAUUUCAAACUUUGAAGGAGGAGUGUAGGUCAAAGGCAUAGUUUUAAUAAAUAUUGCCAAAAAAUAGUUUGGUCUUCAUCAUUCUAUUAUCAAGGGUAAAAGUAGAGAAAAGAGAUAAGCAUUUCAGAUGGAAUGACGUUGAAUAAAAUGACAUCAUUAUUUUCUAUAUCAUAUUUACAACACUAUACAUUCUAUACUGCGUUUACUCUUUUAUUAAGAUGUUGAGAGAUUUUAGUUCGGGGAGUGGCUUGAGGUAUGAAUCACAGUUACGAAUGUUAUGGGUGAAUUGUGUCUCCCCCACCCCUCACCCAUUUCAUAUAUUUAAGCCCCAAUCCCCAGUACCUCAGAAUGUGACUGUAUUUGGAGAUAAGGCCAUUAACGAGGUAAUUAAGACUAAAAUGAGGUCACAUGGGUAGGCCCUAAUCCAGUCCUACUGGAGUCCUUAUAAGAAAAGGAGAUUAGGACACAGACACACAGAGGGAAGACCAUGUGAAGACACAGGGAGAAGAUGGCCAUCUGCAAACCAAGUUGAGAGGCCUCCCAAGAAACCAACCCUGCCAACUCCUUGAUCUUGAACUUCCAGCCCCCAGGACUUUGAGAAAAUACAUUUCUAUUGGUUAAGCACCCAGUCUGUGGUACUUUGUUAUAGCAGCCUUAGCAAAUAAAUACAAUUAAUGUUUUAAAAAAGAAUUUGUGACUAGUUUCAGGAUUGCAUAUUUUUUAAUUUAAAAUAAAUUGGCACCAAAAAUGUACCUAUUUUUGUCAUAUUUUGCACUUUUGUUGAACUUUAUUUUGCCCCUGGGAUUUUUGGGCUAGCAAUAUAUAUUUUCUUCAUAGUCACAGGGUAGUUUUUCUGAAGAUCCUGUUACGUGAUGAUUUGUUGAAGUUCUUUUGAAUGUUUUCUGGUUUUCUUCAAAGGUAAAAUGAUAUUUGAAGUUUAGACCAGUUAGAUAAUAUUACAACAUUAAACAUGUUUUGGACUUUUUGUCAUCACCACCUCCUGAAUCUUCAGCAGCUAGUAAAAUCAAGGAAAGCAAUAUUAUUAGGAGUUAGUGGAUAUACAGUGUUUUUAUUCUAACAUUCCCAUGAUAGUAGUGUCAACUUUGUAGACUAAUUAGUCAUUUUAACCUAGCAAGUACUGUGGGUUUGACCAUGUAAAAACUUGAAUUAAUAUUCAGAGUUGGUCCAUUCAAAAAAUAAAAUCUGGGUUAGGUGCAGUGGCUCCUGCCUGUAAUCCCAGCACUUUGGGAGGCUGAGGCGGGUGGAUCCCUUGAGAUUAGGAGUGCAAGACCAGCCUGGUCAAUAUGGUGAAACCCUGUCUCUACUAAAAAUAUAAAAAUUAGCUGAGUGUGGUGGCAUGUGCCUGUAAUCCCAGCUACUCAGGAGGCUGAGGUGGGAGAAUCGCUUGAAUCUGGGAGGCACAGGUUGCAAUGAACUGAGAUCAUGCCAUUGCACUCCAGCCUGGGCGACAGAGU
This 2779-nucleotide long non-coding RNA is filed under the name Homo sapiens (human). Its description in RNAcentral is "HSALNT0166474". The record is from RNAcentral. Lineage: Eukaryota; Metazoa; Chordata; Mammalia; Primates; Hominidae.